Molecule: non-coding RNA, 124 nt
Organism: Xylaria sp. FL1042
Lineage: Eukaryota; Fungi; Ascomycota; Sordariomycetes; Xylariales; Xylariaceae
Source: the annotation of a GenBank genome assembly
GUUUCUGUGGCCUAGUGGUUAUGGCAUCUGUCUUACAAAGUAAUGGUGGAUCAUCCAAGUACCAACCCUUGGGUCGCCAUCGCGGCAACACAGAAGAUCGCCGGUUCGAUCCCGGCCAGAAACA